AUUGAACGCUGGCGGCAUGCCUUACACAUGCAAGUCGAGCGGCAGCGCGGGGGCAACCCUGGCGGCGAGCGGCGAACGGGCGAGUAAUACAUCGGAACGUGUCCAGUAGCGGGGGAUAACCUGUCGAAAGAUAGGCUAAUACCGCAUACGACCUACGGGUGAAAGCGGGGGACUCUCGGGCAACUGAGGGCCUCGCACUAUUGGAGCGGCCGAUGUCGGAUUAGCUAGUGGCGGGGUAAAGCCCGCCAAGGCGACGAUCCGUAGCUGGUCUGAGAGGACGAUCAGCCACACUGGAACUGAGACACGGUCCAGACUCCUACGGGAGGCAGCAGUGGGGAAUUUUGGACAAUGGGGGCAACCCUGAUCCAGCCAUGCCGCGUGAGUGAAGAAGGCCU
This 395-nucleotide ribosomal RNA is filed under the name uncultured bacterium. Its description in RNAcentral is "bacterial SSU rRNA". It matches the Rfam family "Bacterial small subunit ribosomal RNA", at positions 29 to 417 of the family's 1533-position model. The record is from RNAcentral.